Molecule: transfer RNA, 89 nt
Filed under: Streptomyces sp. TS71-3
Lineage: Bacteria; Bacillati; Actinomycetota; Actinomycetes; Kitasatosporales; Streptomycetaceae
Description: tRNA-Thr
Source: RNAcentral
GCGCGGCGUACGGGUUCGGUACGCGGUUCGUCCUCGCGCAGUCCCUGACCGAGGUUGGCGGCGAGCUGGUGCACACCCAGGGCCGCGUA